CCAAUAGCGUAUAUUAAAGUUGCUGCAGUUAAAAAGCUCGUAGUUGAAUUUCGGGAUCAAUUUGUCGGUCGUGCCUCGGUACGUACUGGCUUAUUGGUUUCUCCCUUCUGACGAACCAUGAUGUCAUUUAUUUGGUGUUGUGGGAAAUCAGGACUGUUACUUUGAAAAAAUUAGAGUGUUUAAAGCAGGCUCACGCUUGAAUACAUUAGCAUGGAAUAAUGAAAUAGGACGUUUGAUUCUAUUUUGUUGGUUUCUAGGAUCGACGUAAUGAUUAAUAGGGAUAGUUGGGGGCAUUAGUAUUCAAUUGUCAGAGGUGAAAUUCUUGGAUUUAUUGAAGACUAACUACUGCGAAAGCAUUUGCCAAGGAUGUUUUCAUUAAUCAAGAACAAAAGUUAGGGGAUCGAAGACGAUCAGAUACCGUCGUAGUCUUAACCAUAAACUAUGCCGACUAGGGAUCGGAUGAUGUUAAUUUUUUAAUGACUCAUUCGGCGCCUUACG
This 498-nucleotide ribosomal RNA is filed under the name uncultured Glomeromycotina. RNAcentral describes it as "partial small subunit ribosomal RNA". It matches the Rfam family "Eukaryotic small subunit ribosomal RNA", at positions 591 to 1092 of the family's 1831-position model. The record is from RNAcentral. Lineage: Eukaryota; Fungi; Glomeromycota.